Stegostoma tigrinum is the source of this 565-nucleotide long non-coding RNA. RefSeq lists it as uncharacterized. The record is from RefSeq and is a predicted model, not a curated record. Lineage: Eukaryota; Metazoa; Chordata; Chondrichthyes; Orectolobiformes; Stegostomatidae. The transcript is spliced from 3 exons.
AGAAAAGCCCACUGGAUUUGGAAAUCGAGUUCUGCACUUAGCUUUCCGGAGGUAGUAACCACAGACUGAGUUGAGACGGGAAUCCGCAACCGGACUCAUGUAAACUCAAACCAGAGAGUCUCCGCCUCUUUUCAAUGACGGCACUCUCAUUACCAUCGAAAGAACAAAAACAAUUCGUCUCCGACCACUCUCUCCGUUUCAAGUGCUGGGAAUUGACAGCAGCUAGGUGACUAUCUCAAAAUUCCUGCUGCAAUGUUUACUAGCACUUAGCUGUUCUCUCGGUGGUAGGCUCUGCUAGCUUCGGGAAGUGAACAAGUCCAAGCGAGCAGAUUUGUUAAGAAUGAAGCUGAGAAAAAUGUCCAGAAACAGGACUAUAGAAGUUUGAAACUUGAUUCUGCAAACAGGAGAAACUUGUGCACGUGGACACCCAGGUCUUAUUGAGCAUUCCCCACUUCCAAAUAAUAAUGUGCCUUCCUAUGUUUGACACCAAAGUGACUAAUAGCGAUGAGUUGGGGUAUGGGGAAGCAAAAUUUACAGGUGAGUGAUUUUUAUUCUGUAUUUUUCU